Molecule: long non-coding RNA, 719 nt
Filed under: Mus pahari (shrew mouse)
Lineage: Eukaryota; Metazoa; Chordata; Mammalia; Rodentia; Muridae
Description: lncRNA (MGP_PahariEiJ_G0005745.1)
Source: RNAcentral
CCAAGGUUGAGGAAGGAGCUGGGACUCGAGACCCUGCUCCACCCUGCCGGCUCCCGCUCGGCCCCAUUACCUGGCAAGCCCCGGCAUCCUCGACCCACGUCCGUGGCGCUGCCUGGGUAGGAACGCGCCUGAAGACCGCGCAGGACACCACCACUGGGCAUCCUGGGCUUGAUUCCUGCACUACAUUCCAGAUCUGAGGAGGCAUAGCUGCCCCGGGGUUACUGGGCUUGGACUUGGACGAGAGCAGUGGUAGGAAGGAUCUCAUAUAAGUCAUGUAAGACAUAGAAUGUUCAGAUCAACUGAAGCUGAAACAAGCCUUUGGCAUCAUAUACAACCCAGAGAGGGACCCAGGUUAUCCAGCUGAUCCCAGAGAACCCGAGGCUAUGGGUGAUGUCAAAGGUGUGGAAGAAUUGGGUUGGAAAGACCAGCAGGACAUAGACAGGGUAAGGUCCCUUGAAUGCUUGGUUUAUGCGCCUGGCUGAAGGAGACACCCAUGGCCUUGCAGAGGGAUCGGUCUGGUGGGAAAGCAGGCACGACCCACCCCAGGCCCGUGGUUUCCCUGCAACAAGUCCAGUGGCUUUCUGGGGGACACUUUUCCUGAAGAAGUGAUUCAAGAGCAGCAUAAGCCAGGUACUAUGGAAUGUUGGGUGAGAUGACUUGAGGACCUACAAGGCCUGCCCCACAGUCUUCCAGCCUCCGACUCUCCAGCCCUCGGCGUG